RNAcentral lists this ribosomal RNA (388 nucleotides) under uncultured Fusibacter sp. RNAcentral describes it as "bacterial SSU rRNA". It matches the Rfam family "Bacterial small subunit ribosomal RNA", at positions 1001 to 1382 of the family's 1533-position model. Lineage: Bacteria; Bacillati; Bacillota; Clostridia; Eubacteriales; Fusibacteraceae. The record is from RNAcentral.
UAGAAGUACGAGGACGCAUCCUUCGGGAAGCGAGCGUACACAGGUGCUGCAUGGCUGUCGUCAGCUCGUGUCGUGAGAUGUUGGGUUAAGUCCCGCAACGAGCGCAACCCUUGUGUUUAGUUGCAAACAGGUCAAGCUGUGCACUCUAGACAGACUGCCGUGGACAACACGGAGGAAGGUGGGGAUGACGUCAAAUCAUCAUGCCCCUUAUGAUCUGGGCUACACACGUGCUACAAUGGCCGGUACAACGGGCAGCGAAGGAGCGAUCCGGAGCGAAUCCUAAAAAGCCGGUCCCAGUUCGGAUUGCAGGCUGAAACUCGCCUACAUGAAGUUGGAGUUGCUAGUAAUCGCGAAUCAGAAUGUCGCGGUGAAUACGUUCCCGGGCCUU